UACAGAGGUCUCAAGCGUUGUUCGGAUUCAUUGGGCGUAAAGGGUGCGUAGGCGGCUUUGCGUGUCUUUCGUGAAAUCCCUCGGCUCAACUGAGGACGUGCGGAAGAAACUGCAGGGCUGGAGUCCGGGAGAGGAGGGUGGAAUUCCCAGUGUAGCGGUGAAAUGCGUAGAUAUUGGGAGGAACACCGGUGGCGAAGGCGGCCCUCUGGACCGGUACUGACGCUGAUGCGCGAAAGCGUGGGGAGCAAACGGG
RNAcentral lists this ribosomal RNA (253 nucleotides) under uncultured bacterium. RNAcentral's name for it is "partial 16S ribosomal RNA". It matches the Rfam family "Bacterial small subunit ribosomal RNA", at positions 524 to 776 of the family's 1533-position model. The record is from RNAcentral.